Callorhinus ursinus (northern fur seal) is the source of this 871-nucleotide non-coding RNA. The record is from RefSeq and is a predicted model, not a curated record. NCBI's taxonomy places the organism in Eukaryota, Metazoa, Chordata, Mammalia, Carnivora, Otariidae.
UUUUGUUUCCAAAAUGGCGGCAGCGAUGGAUGUGGAUACCCUGAGCGGCACCAACAGCGGCGCGGGCAAGAAGCGCUUUGAAGUGAAAAAGUGGAAUGCAGUAGCCCUCUGGGCCUGGGAUAUUGUGGUUGAUAACUGUGCCAUCUGCAGGAACCACAUUAUGGAUCUUUGCAUAGAAUGUCAAGCUAACCAGGCGUCUGCUACUUCUGAAGAGUGCACUGUUGUAUGGGGAGUCUGUAACCAUGCUUUUCACUUCCACUGUAUCUCUCGCUGGCUCAAAACAUGGCAGGUGUGUCCGUUGGACAACAGAGAGUGGAAAUUCCAAAAGUAUGGGCACUAGAAAAAGAAUUCUUCCGUCGAGCCCAACUGUUCUGUUAUUCAUUUAAUGACUUGCCCUCCUGUUACUUAAUUAUAAAUUAGAUAGAACUGUGUCGUUUCUGCUUUGUCUUCUCAGUUUGCUAUUCCUGCAGCCAUAUUGUAUUCUGUGUCAAAUAAAAUCCAGUUGGAUUCUAGAACAGAUGCUGUCUCUUGUGUAUGUGAAAAAGUGAACAUAAAUAAAGGGUCCCCUCUUCCUAGGUUGGAAGGCUUCCUUUCAAAAGUGAGAUGUUUCUUCAUUAGAGCAGAGUUGUCCUGUGAGCACAUCGCUUGGUCAUAAGGAAUCCUGGUCCACAGCCUGAUCAUCGAUGGCAGUCUUGGGCAAGUCGACUCUCCGCUCCGCCCUUUCCCCAAAGAAUGGCUCCUAAGAACUAAAUGACAUUGUAUGUGCACAGAAAGCUUUGUAAACUGUAAAACCACUGUACGAAUGUUAACCUUGACCAUGUAUGACAUGUUGCUUUCUCUUCUUAGUUUAGAAAAAUAAACCUGAAAAAAU